UUCUGUUGGCACUUCUAACAGAUUCUGUGUUAGAUUUAGUUUUAGAUAUUGAUAGCUUAGCUUUCUUUUUCUUUUUUCCCAGAAUGCAGAUUUAAAUUGUGGCAUAAUUUACAUACAAUAAAAUGCCCCUGUGGCAAAUGUACAGGUCAAUGACUUGAGACAAAUGUGUGCACAUGUAACCAUCACUGCAAAACAUCUAUCAAUAUACAGAACAUUUUUACCACCCCAGAAAUUUCCCUUGUGCUCCUUGGCAGUCAAUCCCCAAGCCCUGGGCAAUUGUUAAAUUAUUUGUUGUAACAGAAUAGAAUAAUUUUGCCUUUUUUUAGAAAAAGAACUUCAUACAAAUGGAAUCAUAAAGCAUUAAUUUUUGGUGUCAGGUUCCUUUUAUUCAGCAUAAUAUUUUGAGAUUCAUUUGUUGCAGAUUUUAGUAAUUUACAUAUAUCUAAAAAACAGAGCCAGUGACCCGGUGCUCCCCUUCCUGCCUUCAACUGUGCUUCCUUCUAAGAAGGUAGUAAGUGGCUGUUCUUAAUCAUUUCCUGGCAGCUUCCUUGUAAUUAUAACAGGGAAAGCCCACAGCCCAUGCCUCCUUGUCCAGUGGGGAUUUGUGGCCAGCUUGGUCUUUUGGAACUGCUGGACUUCCUUGAGAGGUCCCCAGCCUCCUGCAUGGGGCUCCAGGGCCAUGGCUGGCCUGAGUAGCUGUGUCCAGAUGGACCUUUAUGGGCUUACUUUGCCUUUCAGGACAACCUGAAGAAGACAGCAUCAUCAGAACGAGGGGACUUCUACAUCACAGGGGAUCGAGCCCAUGUGGACGAGGAUGGCUACUUUUGGUUCCUGGGAAGAAACGACGGUGUGAUCAAUUCUUCAAGCUACCGGAUCGGGUCCAUUGAAGUGGAAAGUGCCCUUGCUGAGCACCCAGCUGUCCGGGGAUCUUCUGCGGUCAGCAGCCCAGACCCCACCAGAGGGGAGGUGGUAGAGGCAUUUAUAGGCCUUUCUCCAGCCUACUCGUCUCAUGAUCCAGAGAAACAAACCCAGAAACUCCAGGAGCAUGUGAAAAGGGUGACAGCUCCAUACAAGUACCCUGGGAAGUCACAAGGUGACCUUUGUUUCAGAACUGCCAAAGACAGUUUCUGGAAAGAUCCAGAGGAGUAACGUGAGAAGCCAAGAGUGGGGGAGAUGAGGGGCAGCCCUGGAAAGGCCCCUUGCCGCCUCAAAGCUUCUAAGAAGAGCUUGUGGGAUCGCUGGUUAGUCCUCACUUGGAGCAUCAUCUUUUCAGCCCUAUAGACAUCAAAGGCUUUCAGCUUCAAAAUGAGCAUCUCCAGAAUCAUUGUAUGGCCCUAGAAGAGGGCAGAAGAACCUCCCAGAGGUUCAGAGCCACUGCCAGCCCAGCAAACGUUUGGCAGCUUACUCCCCCUCUGUCUGCAGGCAUCCUUAGCAGCUGCCCACUGGUCUUACUUGCUAAGAGUGUCCAGCUGGCCCUCCGAAGGACAGGUGACCACAGUGUCGGGGCACCUGUGAUCCUGUGCACUGCCAGGGUGAAUGUGACCACUUGACCCUUUCGGUAAAGCCAUUUGGUAAUCAUAUCCAGUGCCAUGAAAAACUGGUCAAACCCUGUAGCUCAGCGAUCCCGUAUUUGGGAAUCACUACAAAAGAUUAAAAAGAUGUUUACCAUAAUAUUGUUUAAAACCACAAAAAAAGAGAAGAGGAAAGAAAAUUGAUGUCCAAGCAAUAGAGCAAUGAUUAAAUUGUAGUAGAUUAACUCAAUAACACAUUUUGCGGCCAUUAAAAACAUGCCUUGGGGAAAACUUGAGCAAAAUUAAUUUUAAAUCACAAUUAAAGAUAGUAUUUAUAUAGUGGGAAAGCCUCAGCUUUGAAAGGUUAAAGAAAAACUAUAAAUGGAAAAGCAGUUGGAAGGAAAUUCGUUAAAAUGUUAGUAACACUUUUUCUGGGUAUUGAAAACAAUGGAAGACAGUUUUCUUCUUUCCUCUACAUUUAUACAUCAUCCCCAAAUGCUAGUGUAUUACCUGUACCCAGGAAGGCACAAGGACCCUGUAGCCACAUCCCAGGCCCAGAAAUGGAAAGGGUGGCUCUGGGCAGCUGAGACCAGCCAAGCGGAGAAGCCGAUGGAAACUCAGACCUGACCCCAGCACCUCCAUUCACCCACAAGUCAGUGUUUCCCGAGCACCAGCCCAGUGGCGGGCUCUGGGAAUGCAAGGAUAAGCAGAGCCCAGGCAGUCCCCACCUGCUCAGGUUGCCCUAAGAGUACUACAGCCUGGAUGGCUUUCACAGCCGACUGAUUUCCUUGGUGUUGGCGGCAGGAAGUUCAAGAUCAAGGUGUUGGCCAGGCUGGUUUCAUUCUGAGGGUUCUCUCCUUGAUUUGUAGAUGGCUGCUUCUCCUGUGUCUACAUGUGACCUUUUCUCUGUGUGUGUCUGCGUUCUAAUUUCCUCUUCUUAUAAGAACACCAUUCAGACUGUGUAAUAGUGUGAAGAUGAGAUUAUAUUCAGUUUAGGGCCCACGCCAAUGGCCUCGUUUUAAUUUAAUCACCUCUUUAAAAGCCCCAUCUCUGAAUACAGGUGCAUUCUGAGCACCUGGGGAUUAGCAUAUGAAUUUGGGGGGAACACAAUUUGGCUGGUGACACUACCCUUGCGCGGAGUUUACAGUGAGUGCGGAGGCCACUGUUAUUCAUCAGAGAAUAAUCCAAAUAAUGCACAACUGUACUAAGUUCCCUGAAGGGCCUAGUGCAGUUAAAACAGAGGCUGGGGGACUCAGGGUAUCCAGGGAAUCUUCCAUGAAGAGGUCCCUGGCGAGCUGGGAUUGAAGGAAAGUGGAAGUUACAUAAAGAGAUUGGGGCUGAGCUUUCUGAACAAAGACUACAGUUUGUGCCAAGGCCUUGAGGUGGGAAAGACAGGUGUGUGUUCCUUAAAACAGUUCUGCUCAACACCAGCUCUGUCGGCAUAGUUCCAAAUGUUUGAACUCUCAACCAUCCUGUUGGAUGGGUACUGAUAAUACCCUCUUUUUACAGCUAGAACAGAGAAGUUAAGCAAUUUGCUGAAGUCCACAUAGCUGGUAUCUCACAGAGAGGAUUCAAACCCAGCUGGUCCAGCACCUGUGUCCACACUUUAUAAUGGAUUGAUGGCCUGGUUUAGGAAUUUGUUUUUCUCCUAUAAGUGCUAGGGAGACAUUGAAGGUUUGUGGCAAAGAAAUUAUCUUCUUAAAGUUUCAUUAGCCCUUAAAAAGAAAAAAACUUGUCCA
Molecule: RNA transcript, 3250 nt
Organism: Manis pentadactyla (Chinese pangolin)
Lineage: Eukaryota; Metazoa; Chordata; Mammalia; Pholidota; Manidae
Gene name: acyl-coenzyme A synthetase ACSM5, mitochondrial-like
Exons: 4
Source: RefSeq, a predicted model, not a curated record